AUACGUAGGGGGCUAGCGUUAUCCGGAAUUACUGGGCGAAAGGGGUGGGUAGGGGGUUUCUUAAUUCAGAAGGGAAAGGCAACGGCUCAACCGAGGAAAGCUUUUGAAACUAAGAGACUUGAGUGCAGGAGGGGGGAGUAGAUUUCUGAGUGAAGCGGUGAAAUGCGUAGAUAUUAGGAGGAAUACCAGUUGCGAAGGCGGCUCUCUGGACUGUAACUGACACUGAGGCACGAAAGCGUGGGGAGCAAACAGGAUUAGAUACCCUGGUAGUCCACGCCGUAAACGAUGAGUACUAGCUGUCGGGGGUUACCCCCCUCGGUGGCGCAGCUAACGCAUUAAGUACUCCGCCUGGGAAGUACGCUCGCAAGAGUGAAACUCAAAGGAAUUGGCGGGG
Molecule: ribosomal RNA, 394 nt
Filed under: uncultured bacterium
Lineage: Bacteria
Description: partial 16S ribosomal RNA
Rfam family: Bacterial small subunit ribosomal RNA
Source: RNAcentral